RNAcentral lists this ribosomal RNA (253 nucleotides) under uncultured bacterium. RNAcentral's name for it is "partial 16S ribosomal RNA". It matches the Rfam family "Bacterial small subunit ribosomal RNA", at positions 524 to 776 of the family's 1533-position model. The record is from RNAcentral.
UACGUAGGGUGCGAGCGUUAAUCGGAAUUACUGGGCGUAAAGCGUGCGCAGGCGGCUUUGCAAGACAGAUGUGAAAUCCCCGGGCUCAACCUGGGAACUGCAUUUGUGACUGCAAGGCUAGAGUACGGCAGAGGGGGAUGGAAUUCCGCGUGUAGCAGUGAAAUGCGUAGAUAUGCGGAGGAACACCAAUGGCGAAGGCAAUCCCCUGCGCCUGUACUGACGCUCAUGCACGAAAGCGUGGGGAGCAAACAGG